GACGAACGCUGGCGGCGUGCUUAACACAUGCAAGUCGAACGGAAAGGCCCCUUCGUGGGUACUCGAAUGGCGGACGGGGGAGUAACACUUAAGUAACCUUCCCUUGACUUCGGGAUAACUUCAGGAAACUGGGGCUAAUACCGGAUAGGAAUCCUUUCUGCAAGGGGGUGGUUGGAAAGCUUCGGAGGUUUUUGAUGGACUCUCGGCUUAUCAGCUUGUUGGUAUGGUAGUUUCUUACCAAGGCUUUUACGGGUAGCCAGCCUGAGGGGGCGACCGGCGAUAUUGGGACUGAGAGACGGCCCAGACUCCUACGGGAGGCAGAAGGGGGGAAUAUUGCACAAUGGGCGGAAGCCUGAUGCAGAAACGCCGCGUGCGGGAUGACGGUCUUAGGGUUGAAAACCGAUUUCAGCAGGGGCGAAGCUUGUGGUGACGGUACCUGCAGAAGAAGCACCGGCUAACUACGUG
Molecule: ribosomal RNA, 465 nt
Filed under: uncultured bacterium
Lineage: Bacteria
Description: partial 16S ribosomal RNA
Rfam family: Bacterial small subunit ribosomal RNA
Source: RNAcentral